This 142-nucleotide small nucleolar RNA is filed under the name Cavia porcellus (domestic guinea pig). Lineage: Eukaryota; Metazoa; Chordata; Mammalia; Rodentia; Caviidae. The record is from RNAcentral.
AUGGCCCUGAAUCAAGGCCAGCAGCUUCCUGAUGCUGUUGGUUUCAAGCAGAAGGCUAAAAAGAUGUCUUUCCAUGAUCUGCGAGCCACCAGCAUUUACUGGGACCCACGCAAGGCUGGGACCUGGAGUGAUGGUAAACCAA